This 90-nucleotide signal recognition particle RNA is filed under the name bacterium. Its description in RNAcentral is "signal recognition particle sRNA small type". It matches the Rfam family "Bacterial small signal recognition particle RNA". Rfam says of the family: The signal recognition particle (SRP) is a universally conserved ribonucleoprotein involved in the co-translational targeting of proteins to membranes. Archaeal SRP consists of a 7S RNA and homologues of the eukaryotic SRP19 and SRP54 proteins. The record is from RNAcentral.
AUCGGGCAAGGUAAGUUGUUUGAGUUGCGUAAUCUGUCAGGUCCGGAAGGAAGCAGCAGGCGCUCUCUUCUCUGUACCUUGCCCUUUUAU